Molecule: ribosomal RNA, 511 nt
Filed under: uncultured bacterium
Lineage: Bacteria
Description: bacterial SSU rRNA
Rfam family: Bacterial small subunit ribosomal RNA
Source: RNAcentral
GAUUAUGGCUCAGGAUGAACGCUAGCUACAGGCUUAACACAUGCAAGUCGAGGGGCAGCAUGAAGUUGCUUGCAAACUUGAUGGCGACCGGCGCACGGGUGAGUAACGCGUAUCCAACCUUCCCUAUACUAGAGGAUAGCCCGGCGAAAGUCGGAUUAAUACUCUAUGUUCUUCGUAGAAGACAUCUGAAAUGAAGCAAAGGUUUACCGGUAUAGGAUGGGGAUGCGUCUGAUUAGGUUGUUGGCGGGGUAACGGCCCACCAAGCCCACGAUCAGUAGGGGUUCUGAGAGGAAGGUCCCCCACAUUGGAACUGAGACACGGUCCAAACUCCUACGGGAGGCAGCAGUGAGGAAUAUUGGUCAAUGGACGAGAGUCUGAACCAGCCAAGUAGCGUGCAGGAUGACGGCCCUAUGGGUUGUAAACUGCUUUUAUACAGGGAUAAAGUGACGUACGUGUACGUUUUGUAGGUACUGUAUGAAUAAGGACCGGCUAAUUCCGUGCCAGCCGCGGC